AACGAGAGGAGAAGGAAGCUUGCUUCUUUCAAAUCUAGUGGCAAACGGGUGAGUAACACGUAAACAACCUGCCUUCAGGAUGGGGACAACAGACGGAAACGACUGCUAAUACCGAAUACGUUCCUUAGGUCGCAUGAUCUUAGGAAGAAAGGGUGGCCUCUACCUGUAAGCUAUCGCCUGAAGAGGGGUUUGCGUCUGAUUAGGUAGUUGGCGGGGUAACGGCCCACCUAGUCUUCGAUGGAUAGGGGUUCUGAGAGGAAGGUCCCCACAUUGGAACUGAGACACGGUCCAAACUCC
This 297-nucleotide ribosomal RNA is filed under the name uncultured Dialister sp. RNAcentral's name for it is "partial 16S ribosomal RNA". It matches the Rfam family "Bacterial small subunit ribosomal RNA", at positions 65 to 339 of the family's 1533-position model. Lineage: Bacteria; Bacillati; Bacillota; Negativicutes; Veillonellales; Veillonellaceae. The record is from RNAcentral.